GCCAGUGAUAAACUGGAGGAAGGUGGGGAUGACGUCAAGUCAUCAUGGCCCUUACGACCAGGGCUACACACGUGCUACAAUGGCGCAUACAAAGAGAAGCGACCUCGCGAGAGCAAGCGGACCUCAUAAAGUGCGUCGUAGUCCGGAUUGGAGUCUGCAACUCGACUCCAUGAAGUCGGAAUCGCUAGUAAUCGUGGAUCAGAAUGCCACGGUGAAUACGUUCCCGGGCCUUGUACACACCGCCCGUCACACCAUGGGAGUGGGUUGCAAAAGAAGUAGGUAGCUUAACCUUCGGGAGGGCGCUUACCACUUUGUGAUUCAUGACUGGGGUGAAGUCGUAACAAGGUAACCGUAGGGGAACCUGCGGUUGGA
This 372-nucleotide ribosomal RNA is filed under the name Escherichia coli. RNAcentral's name for it is "bacterial SSU rRNA". It matches the Rfam family "Bacterial small subunit ribosomal RNA", at positions 1151 to 1522 of the family's 1533-position model. RNAcentral also lists the same sequence under 6 other names. The record is from RNAcentral. Lineage: Bacteria; Pseudomonadati; Pseudomonadota; Gammaproteobacteria; Enterobacterales; Enterobacteriaceae.